RNAcentral lists this ribosomal RNA (931 nucleotides) under Flavobacterium sp. ALI-LH2. Its description in RNAcentral is "bacterial SSU rRNA". It matches the Rfam family "Bacterial small subunit ribosomal RNA", at positions 94 to 1031 of the family's 1533-position model. Lineage: Bacteria; Pseudomonadati; Bacteroidota; Flavobacteriia; Flavobacteriales; Flavobacteriaceae. The record is from RNAcentral.
CCGGCAGCACGGGUGCGUAACGCGUAUGCAAUCUACCUUUCACAAAGGGAUAGCCCAGAGAAAUUUGGAUUAAUACCUUAUAGUAUAUCGAGUUGGCAUCAACAUGAUAUUAAAGAUUUAUCGGUGAAAGAUGAGCAUGCGUCCCAUUAGCUAGUUGGUAUGGUAACGGCAUACCAAGGCAACGAUGGGUAGGGGUCCUGAGAGGGAGAUCCCCCACACUGGUACUGAGACACGGACCAGACUCCUACGGGAGGCAGCAGUGAGGAAUAUUGGACAAUGGGCGCAAGCCUGAUCCAGCCAUGCCGCGUGCAGGAUGACGGUCCUAUGGAUUGUAAACUGCUUUUAUACAGGAAGAAACACCUCUACGUGUAGAGACUUGACGGUACUGUAAGAAUAAGGAUCGGCUAACUCCGUGCCAGCAGCCGCGGUAAUACGGAGGAUCCAAGCGUUAUCCGGAAUCAUUGGGUUUAAAGGGUCCGUAGGCGGUCAGAUAAGUCAGUGGUGAAAGCCCAUCGCUCAACGGUGGAACGGCCAUUGAUACUGUCUGACUUGAAUUAUUAGGAAGUAACUAGAAUAUGUAGUGUAGCGGUGAAAUGCUUAGAGAUUACAUGGAAUACCAAUUGCGAAGGCAGGUUACUACUAAUAUAUUGACGCUGAUGGACGAAAGCGUGGGUAGCGAACAGGAUUAGAUACCCUGGUAGUCCACGCCGUAAACGAUGGAUACUAGCUGUUGGGAGCAAUUUCAGUGGCUAAGCGAAAGUGAUAAGUAUCCCACCUGGGGAGUACGAACGCAAGUUUGAAACUCAAAGGAAUUGACGGGGGCCCGCACAAGCGGUGGAGCAUGUGGUUUAAUUCGAUGAUACGCGAGGAACCUUACCAAGGCUUAAAUGUAGUUUGACCGUUUGGAAACAGAAUUUUCGCAAGACAAAUU